This is a long non-coding RNA of Lemur catta (Ring-tailed lemur), 1824 nucleotides long. RefSeq lists it as uncharacterized. NCBI's taxonomy places the organism in Eukaryota, Metazoa, Chordata, Mammalia, Primates, Lemuridae. The transcript is spliced from 4 exons. The record is from RefSeq and is a predicted model, not a curated record.
CUAGUCAGAGAAGGUAAUGCCUUGUAUAAAGUCACUAAGUAUGCCUUGCAUAUAGUGAAGAUAUGAAGAAAUUAAUUAGUAAUUAAUUAUUACUCAGCUCUAACGUCAGGGAUCUAUGCGAUACCGCACAGUUACUUUAUCCUGACAUUCACGAGCCACUUUGAACUUUAAGAAAGACCUUCUCAGCAGAAGGCUCAGUGAGCUCUCUCCUUAAACACGGCCUUGACUUUAGUGGACUCGGAGCUGGCAAACAACAGAUUAGGUUGCCAAGGAAUGCCAGAUCUAGCAGACGACACUACUCCUUCUUUUUUGAAUUUCACAACCAUGGAAUCUGACCUCCAAAAAGGUAAAUAUCUCUAGUUACAGACGAACAAAAAUCUAAGGUGCACAGCCCGUUCCAACUCACCAUCCUGUCUGCACGUCUCUAAGGUAGGAGAUGAGAAAAAGCAAUUCACCGACGCAACUUUAACAAGGCAUUGGUAACAUGCCCUGUUUCAUUUUACCAGUUUUAAGGAUUGCAAACUCAACAAAACCAGUCCUUCCAUUCCUAGAUUAUAGUAGUUGUUUCCCCCAUUGUCUAAGAUAUGUGAAAUGCUUGACCCAGGACUGAAAAGUUUGCUCACCAGAAUAAAGAGGAAAUGCCAAAGCGAUGAUGAAAAUAGCUUUGAUACAUGAUGACAAGAAAGACAUUUUAUCAAGCCUGCGGGAAGAAACCUUUAGGGAUGUUUAUAACACAUGACACAGGCAAACUGUCCAUUUCCAAACAAUAGUCUCUUAAAACAAAAGGAACUUUUCUAACCCCUUAGAUUCCUAAUUACAGUGGACUCUUCCCUUUGUUCUUUCCCCAAUCCUUAGGAUCAACAAGACUUGACAUGUGAAUAGAAGGCCUCCCAGAGACUUGAGAGAAACCACAGGGAUGGUGCAGCCUCUCUGAGCUACCGUGUCCUGGAUGGGCCCGAGAAGGUUCCUGUCGUGCACAUUGAUGAGAAGGGCUUCCUGGUGCCAGGGGCUGUGAUGGGGACGUCCACAAUUGAAGUGACUGCACAAGAGCCUUUUGGGGCCAACGAAACCAUCAUUGUUGGUGUCAAGGUGAGUGCUCCCUGGCCCAGAGGGGAGUCGUGGAGACCUUGCAGCCAGAGUCCCUGCUCAGCUCCAGCACCAGUUCCAGCCAGCCGUCUCCAAUUUCCCAGCAUGUGAUGGUCUCACUGUGGAGCCAGGCUUUGACGCUGCUCUAGGAAGGCUGCGAUGUUCUCCCUCUGGACCAAGAGAAUCCGAGGGCCAGCACGACACCGACACGCUGGUGUGGCCGUGGAAGGGACUCCACCCUGGCACCCAGGUUCCAGGUCUGCGGAGCUCCCCAGGCCCCGCUCAACAGUGCUCAUCCAAGGCCAGGCCAAGGAGGCCAGGACGGGAGCCAGAACAGUUCCAGCCCGUGCCUUCGUGGAGCCUCCCGCUGCACCUGGGUCCCAGCCGUCCCGCGUCAGCCCUGGCUCGACCUGCAGCCCAGGGCUGGGUUGUGGUGUCUGCCACUUAUUCUCCCUCCUUCCGGGCCAGGCUGGCUGGGCCCUGAGCUGCAGGGCUGGCCCUCACAUGCUUCUUACUGCCCCAGGAGUGUCACUUAAAGGAGGAUCAUGAUGUCAGCUAUGUUGUAGCAUUCCCCUGACACCAAUCAGAAUUUCAAGAAAAAGAAAUUAAAUAUUUCAAUGAUACACAUAACAAGGUCUUUAAAAGCCUAAAGUUAUUAAAGGUUUUCAAACUAUAGAUGGAAAGGUCCCUUAAGAAUUGUACAGGUUUAAAUUUCUAAUAAAGUAAAUAUCAGUGUCU